Molecule: non-coding RNA, 76 nt
Filed under: Chloropicon mariensis
Lineage: Eukaryota; Viridiplantae; Chlorophyta; Chloropicophyceae; Chloropicales; Chloropicaceae
Source: RNAcentral
GUCAUGGGCAUCCGGUUGGAGAGAGCGGUGGAAGAGCGAAAGGGCGAGGGAGGAGAGGGAGCAAAGAGAAGUUUCC